GAUGAAGAACGUAGUGAAAUGCGAUAAGUAGUGUGAAUUGCAGAAUUCAGUGAAUCAUCGAAUCUUUGAACGCACAUUGCGCCCUUUGGUAUUCCUUAGGGCAUGCCUGUUCGAGCGUCAUUUGAAACCUCAAGCUCAGCUUGGUGUUGGGUGUCUGUCCCCGCCUCCGCGGGGACUCGCCUCAAAAUCAUUGGCGGCCGGUACGUUGGCUUCGAGCGCAGCAGAAACGCGAACUCGAGGCCCGGCGGAUCGGCGACCAGAAGUCUCUUCUUCACAGUUUGACCUCGGAUCAGGUAGGGAUACCCGCUGAACUUAAGAAUAUCAAUAAGCGGAGGA
This 336-nucleotide unclassified non-coding RNA is filed under the name soil metagenome. RNAcentral describes it as "partial contains 5.8S ribosomal RNA, internal transcribed spacer 2, and large subunit ribosomal RNA". The stretch from base 1 to 120 matches the Rfam family "5.8S ribosomal RNA", at positions 35 to 154 of the family's 154-position model. The record is from RNAcentral.